Molecule: long non-coding RNA, 105 nt
Organism: Octopus sinensis (East Asian common octopus)
Lineage: Eukaryota; Metazoa; Mollusca; Cephalopoda; Octopoda; Octopodidae
Exons: 3
Source: RefSeq, a predicted model, not a curated record
AUAUAUAUGUGUAGAACAAGAGGGUACUGAAAUAUUCCUGGCUUUGGGGGAAAGAAAAUACAGAAAGAUCAGUUAAUUAUGAUUUUACUCAACAUAUUCCCCUCU